This 348-nucleotide unclassified non-coding RNA is filed under the name soil metagenome. Its description in RNAcentral is "partial contains 5.8S ribosomal RNA, internal transcribed spacer 2, and large subunit ribosomal RNA". The stretch from base 1 to 120 matches the Rfam family "5.8S ribosomal RNA", at positions 35 to 154 of the family's 154-position model. The record is from RNAcentral.
GAUGAAGAACGUAGCAAAAUGCGAUAAGUAAUGUGAAUUGCAGAAUUCAGUGAAUCAUCGAAUCUUUGAACGCACAUUGCGCCCGCUGGUAGUCCGGCGGGCAUGCCUGUUCGAGCGUCAUUUCAACCCUCAAGCCCCCGGGUUUGGUGUUGGGGAUCGGCUCUGCCCUUCUGGGCGGUGCCGCCCCCGAAAUACAUUGGCGGUCUCGCUGCAGCCUCCAUUGCGUAGUAGCUAACACCUCGCAACUGGAACGCGGCGCGGCCAUGCCGUAAAACCCCAACUUCUGAAUGUUGACCUCGGAUCAGGUAGGAAUACCCGCUGAACUUAAGCAUAUCAAUAAGCGGAGGA